AACAAAUCUAUAUUCUAGCAUGAUGAUGAAGUAGCUACUUGCUUCUUCUUCUUCUUCUUCUUA
Molecule: small RNA, 63 nt
Filed under: Arabidopsis thaliana (thale cress)
Lineage: Eukaryota; Viridiplantae; Streptophyta; Magnoliopsida; Brassicales; Brassicaceae
Description: ATSL049960
Source: RNAcentral